CUGGCUAUCAUUAUCCUAAAGACAUUCGGGGGUCAACCGAAGCCCGUAGCCGCCUUCGGGCGUGACGGGCGGCUGGUAUCCUCCAGCUGAGCGCUGUAUGUUGCAGUGCGGGCCGGCCUUUGGGGUCGGGAGUCCGUGCCUGUAGCGGACCACCCCUUGGGAAACUCAGUGGGGGCAAUUGGAUGGGCCGUGGACGGCUUUCGGCGGCUUCGGCCCCGGACCUCUCCCGGCUCGGGCGCUGGGCUUCGGCUUGGCCCCGACCUUCUAGCUAACCCUGACCCGGUAUCCUCGGGUACCGGUCUGGGACGUCUGGACUCCGGUUCAGGCUUACCGGUGAAGAUAGUUACCUGGUUGGUUCUGCUA
Molecule: unclassified non-coding RNA, 363 nt
Filed under: Rhizoplaca chrysoleuca
Lineage: Eukaryota; Fungi; Ascomycota; Lecanoromycetes; Lecanorales; Lecanoraceae
Description: partial 28S-18S ribosomal RNA intergenic spacer
Source: RNAcentral